Molecule: ribosomal RNA, 496 nt
Filed under: Nitrincola tibetensis
Lineage: Bacteria; Pseudomonadati; Pseudomonadota; Gammaproteobacteria; Oceanospirillales; Oceanospirillaceae
Description: bacterial LSU rRNA
Rfam family: Bacterial large subunit ribosomal RNA
Source: RNAcentral
GUUAUAUGGUCAAGUGAAUAAGCGUGCACGGUGGAUGCCUUGGCAGUCAGAGGCGAUGAAGGACGUGGUAGCCUGCGAAAAGCUUCGGGGAGUCGGCAAACAGACUUUGAUCCGGAGAUGUCCGAAUGGGGAAACCCACCUAAUUUAUUAGGUAUCUUUAAGCUGAAUACAUAGGCUUUUAGAGGCGAACUCGGGGAACUGAAACAUCUAAGUACCCGAAGGAAAAGAAAUCAACCGAGAUUCCCUAAGUAGCGGCGAGCGAACGGGGAGCAGCCCUUAAGCUGCAUUGUGGUUAAAAGAAUGCUCUGGAAAGAGCAGCCGUAGAGGGUGAUAGCCCCGUAUUUGAAAACCUAAUUGCAGUGAAAACGAGUAAGGCGGGACACGUGAUAUCCUGUCUGAAGAUGGGGGGACCAUCCUCCAAGGCUAAAUACUCCUGACUGACCGAUAGUGAACCAGUACCGUGAGGGAAAGGCGAAAAGAACCCCUGUGAGGGGAG